Molecule: ribosomal RNA, 421 nt
Filed under: uncultured bacterium
Lineage: Bacteria
Description: bacterial SSU rRNA
Rfam family: Bacterial small subunit ribosomal RNA
Source: RNAcentral
UAAGGAAUAUUGGUCAAUGGACGCAAGUCUGAACCAGCCAUGCCGCGUGAAGGAUGAAGGUCCUCUGGAUUGUAAACUUCUUUUAUCUGGGACGAAAACGGGAUUUUUAUCUCAAUUGACGGUACCAGAGGAAUAAGCACCGGCUAACUCCGUGCCAGCAGCCGCGGUAAUACGGAGGGUGCGAGCGUUAUCCGGAUUUACUGGGUUUAAAGGGUGCGUAGGUGGGCUUAUAAGUCAGUGGUGAAAUCUCCGAGCUUAACUUGGAAACUGCCGUUGAUACUAUAGGUCUUGAAUUAUCUGGAGGUAAGCGGAAUAUGUCAUGUAGCGGUGAAAUGCUUAGAUAUGACAUAGAACACCAAUUGCGAAGGCAGCUUACUACAUAUAAAUUGACGCUGAGGCACGAAAGCGUGGGGAUCAAAUA